AGUAACGCGUGGGUAACCUGCCUCAUACAGGGGGAUAACGAUUGGAAACGAUUGCUAAUACCGCAUAAGCGCACAGUACCACAUGGUGCAGUGUGAAAAACUCCGGUGGUAUGAGAUGGACCCGCGUCUGAUUAGCUAGUUGGUGAGGUAAUGGCCCACCAAGGCGACGAUCGGUAGCCGGACUGAGAGGUUGAACGGCCACAUUGGGACUGAGACACGGCCCAG
RNAcentral lists this ribosomal RNA (225 nucleotides) under uncultured bacterium. RNAcentral's name for it is "partial 16S ribosomal RNA". It matches the Rfam family "Bacterial small subunit ribosomal RNA", at positions 109 to 334 of the family's 1533-position model. The record is from RNAcentral.